UGAACCUGCGGAAGGAUCAUUGUCGAAACCUGCACAGCAGAACGACCCGCGAACACGUUACAACACCGGGUGAGGGACGAAGGGUGCGCAAGCUCCCCGAGUUACGAGCCCACGGUCGGGGACCGCCCCCGGGUGUUCCUCGUCCGAACAACGACCCCCCGGCGCGGAAUGCGCCAAGGAAAUCAAAACCGAACUGCGCGCGUCCCCCCCCCUCGCGGGCGGCGAAUGCGUCUUUUCUAAAACACAAACGACUCUCGGCAACGGAUAUCUCGGCUCUCGCAUCGAUGAAGAACGUAGCGAAAUGCGAUACUUGGUGUGAAUUGCAGAAUCCCGUGAACCAUCGAGUCUUUGAACGCAAGUUGCGCCCGAAGCCAUUAGGCCGAGGGCACGUCUGCCUGGGCGUCACGCAUCGCGUCGCCCCCCCCCCAGCCCCGCACUCCGUACGGGAGUUAAGGGGGAGGGGCGGAAACUGGCCUCCCGUGUCUCACCGCGCGGUUGGCCUAAAUGUGAGUCCUUGGCGACGGACGUCACGGCAAGUGGUGGUCGUAAAAAGCCCUAUUCUCAUGUCGUGCGAUGAUCCUUCGCCUUAGAAGGCACUCGCGACCCUGUGGAAGCCGUACCAUACGCGUGCUCCGACCGACNCCCCAGGUCAUUU
This 655-nucleotide ribosomal RNA is filed under the name Harmsiopanax aculeatus. RNAcentral's name for it is "eukaryotic LSU rRNA". The stretch from base 250 to 405 matches the Rfam family "5.8S ribosomal RNA". Lineage: Eukaryota; Viridiplantae; Streptophyta; Magnoliopsida; Apiales; Araliaceae. The record is from RNAcentral.